AUUGUGACCUGGUGCAAGCUUGAAAAAAACAGCUGUUUAAAUCUUGGGGAUAGAUUUUAAGGUCAAGGGUUGGGCAGAAAAGAAAGUAUUUCAGUUCUUCUUCUGCAUUUUAAUCAAGUGCUUGUUGGUGACAACGGGUCAUACACUGUUCUAUGAAUUCUUUGUCUGGACUCAUGGAAAGCCCCUCAGUUACUGUUAAUGCGACAGAACGGACUCAAAAUAAUUCAGAGCACCCUCUUGUAAUCGCCCUCCUGUUUCACCACUUUUCUUGAGGCAGCUGGAACUUCACAAAAAAAAGGUAAGGAUAAAUCCUUUGAUUUACCACAUCCCAAGUGAUCUAGGCAGUAAGAGAUCUUGCUUAUGCAGGUGAUGAGACAGCAGUGUGUGUGGCAUUAAGUAUAGAAUGUCCCCAGAACAAGGAUAUCCAGGCUUUUUAAGUGAUGUACUAGUUCCUGCUCCUUCCUCUUGGAUAGGCCUCUUGGUGGCCUUUCUG
This 493-nucleotide long non-coding RNA is filed under the name Sus scrofa (pig). RNAcentral's name for it is "lncRNA (ENSSSCG00030052956.1)". The record is from RNAcentral. Lineage: Eukaryota; Metazoa; Chordata; Mammalia; Artiodactyla; Suidae.